Molecule: ribosomal RNA, 146 nt
Filed under: Colletotrichum fioriniae
Lineage: Eukaryota; Fungi; Ascomycota; Sordariomycetes; Glomerellales; Glomerellaceae
Description: partial 28S ribosomal RNA
Rfam family: Eukaryotic large subunit ribosomal RNA
Source: RNAcentral
GUUGACCUCGGAUCAGGUAGGAAUACCCGCUGAACUUAAGCAUAUCAAUAAGCGGAGGAAAAGAAACCAACAGGGAUUGCCCCAGUAACGGCGAGUGAAGCGGCAACAGCUCAAAUUUGAAAUCUGGCCCCAGGCCCGAGUUGUAA